This 4447-nucleotide unclassified non-coding RNA is filed under the name Harpegnathos saltator (Jerdon's jumping ant). Its description in RNAcentral is "myb-like protein Q, transcript variant X7". The record is from RNAcentral. Lineage: Eukaryota; Metazoa; Arthropoda; Insecta; Hymenoptera; Formicidae.
ACUCUCAUUCUUUCUUUCUCAUUUUUCCUCUCUCUCUUUCGAUUGUCACUCUCCCCUCCGCCCUUCUCUUCAUCCGUCUUCUUCUCAUAUCUUCUUUUCCCUUCCUCUCGCACCUCCUUUUCGUUGAACAAUCCGUCAAAACGAGUGAGAGAAGUUGUGUUGCCCCGUCGAGACUUCGUCGAUCGCUAGCUGUGCCAUCAAGACUUAAAAGACGUAAAAAAGGAAAAAACCAAUCGCAUAAAGAGGAUCUAAGAGAAGAUCUAAGAAAUCGAAGAGGAGACAACGGAAUCGGAAUCCGUAGGACGCGCUUAUCCCUCCAAAGGGUGAACGAAGAUCGACGUGACCACCACUAUUAGUAGUAGCAGCAGCAGCAGCAACAGCAGCGGCGGCGGCGACGACGCGAUGUCUCUGGAGCCUGUGACAAGUGACAAGCAGCCGCCGUCGUCGACAACGGUGACAACGACGACAACGACGACGACGAUGACGGCGAUGUCGACGACUACAACUACGGCGACCACGGCCGCGAUCACGACGACGACGAUGACGACGACGACUACGGCUCCAGCAACUGCGACGACGGCGGUGGCGACGACGACGACGACGACGACGACGACGACCACGACGACGACGACGACGGUGAAGAAGAAGAAGAAUGAGGGAGAUGAAGCGAUUAUAUCGAUGUCGGUAGCCGGAGAGGUGACUGAUACUUCGAUCAUGGAAAUCGGCCGUUCUAGACCUCAGUUUCAAUAUUCUCGGGAAGAGCUGAUGCUGAUAAAGAAUCUGCGAUUGUCCAAACGUAGGCCUGCAUUUUUAGACGUCGCUUACAACAGCUCACGAGGCGUCUGGGAUCCCGAGCGUUGGCACUCGGACAGAAAGCGCAGUGAUACACCCCCGAAAGAAGAAAAGACUGGACGUGGUGAUCAAAUCACUGAGAAUCAUAGCAAGCGACGCAGCAAUGGCGACCCGCGAGACCGAAUACGCAAGGAGCAAGACGGCAUCGUCUUGAGCCCGCAACGGAGGAGUUUUAACUCUGGGUGUUUCGUCAACGUGAAUCAGCCGGCGAAUCGACGUCCCGAGAGCCCGAUUGGCAAAACGGAGGUCAGCCAUCGAGAACCCGUCCGUCGAAUCGGCAGCGGAAGAAUCCUGACGCGGGAUAUAUGGGACUUCAGGUCUGAAAAUGAAAAGAUCGAACCGGAGCGCGCGGAUUACGGCUUCAGAUCGGGCAGCGGUGUCGGUGGUUCUAUGCGCGAUCGUGACAAUCGAGAUAAUCGCGAUGGAAAGGAGCGAGACAAUAUCAUGCGGGACAGGGAUCGCGAUCGCGACAACCUGCGCGAACGGGACGAGAGAUUCGAGCGGCGAUCGUUCGGCCGUGAUUACGGGGAGCGCGAGAGAGAGCGCGACCGCGACCGAGGUGUGGAACGUAACGAGCGCAACCACCAGGUCCAGGAGCGCGACAAAGAUCGCGGGCGCGACAAGAGAUUCGGCAAUGACCGUCGGCGGACUUACAGUGACAAUCGUGAUUCGGACGAGCCCGAAUGGUUCAGUUCCGGACCGACGUCUCAGCACGACACGAUUGAGUUAAGAGGCUUCGAGGACAUUCCGGAGGAGAAGGCGGUGAACAGCGGCGGUAACUCCAGCAACAGCAAGAACAAGAAGCAGACCUUGGCGCAGAAGAAACGGGCCAAGAAGAACGCCACGGAGAAGGAGGAGAAGCCGAGCGAAAGCAACUCGUCCGGCCCGAAGGGCCGCAGCACCCCGACCGCCAUGGACCAGUCGAUAAACGCAGUACCAGCUCCGCAUUCCCCGAUCUCCGAGCAGGCUGAGCAGUCGUCCACCGCGCAGAAGGAGAACGACGUCAGCGAGAGUAUCGUAAACGAGCCGAUAUCGGAAACGACGGAGACCUCCACCGCCAAUCAGCAUCGAGAGGAUUCGCAUCCCGAUUUCAAUCUGGAUGAGUUCCUGAAAUCCGACACGUUCCCUGGCGUCUCAGGAUUGUUAACGAACGGAGUUGGCUCGAACGGCGGUACCUGUUCCCGUUUCAGUCAAUGGUUUAAGAGAGAAAGUCCAGUUCAGCAAGCAGACAGUCGCAGAGCUUCCAUACAUGACGAGUUACUCAACAAUCUAUUGAACGAUAUCACGGAGCCAAAUAUUCAAAUACCAUCGGUAACGGAAUCGAACGCUUACUUCACUCCAAUUUCUCCGGCCAACACGACGAAUAAUACAAACGCUGCUACGACCGGCGUCAAGUUACUCGAGAUGUUGCAUCGCGGCAAUAAGCCGAAUCAAAACGGCCAAGGGGACGCGGUUAACUCGAUGGCGCCUCUGGUGAAGAACUGCACCAUCAAGGAUCUGGAAGUUGGUGGAAAAGUUGUGCACAGUUUGGAAGAAUUAGAAGCACGCAUGCGGGGCGGCGCUCCUCCACCUGUAACCUCGACUGAAACGCCCCGUGUAAAUAAGACUGAAGAAGAUCUCUCUGCUUUUAAGAAACUGCUUGCUCAAGUAAACGGAGGACAAGCUGUACCUGCAGCUAACGGACCUAUCGCACAGAAACCACCUAUAACGUUAAUGCAGCUACUUAAUUCUCAACUGAAGACUCAACCACCAAUGCCGCAUCAACAGCCCCCAGCGCCUGCGGAACCAAUCCAUCCGUCAACAUUCAAUCAUGUCGGUCCACUUGGUCCCACUCAACACUCGCAUCAGGCCCAGAUGCAACAUGAGAAUCUAAUAAAAGUUUUGCAAAUACAACAGCAGCAGCAGCAACAACAGCAGCAGCAGCAACAACAACAACAACAACAACAACAUCAACAUCAUCAUCAUCAUCAGCAACAGCAACAGCAACAGAAACAACGACACUCUGAUAUGCUGUCGAUGAUGAUGGGCGGACAGCGAAUAUUAGGUGUGAGUCCUGUACCAACGGAUAUGCAGAUGAUGUUGAAUAAUAUCCCCUCGAGUCAAGAGCUUCUACAACGACCGGAAGCUCAAGCGAUUAUUCAGGGUCUACAGCAGGGGGAAAUCACUAGGCAACAUCUCAUACAGCAGUUACAAAAUCCCGUCAUGCAGCAUCGCCAUCGAGAAGUAUUGGUGAAUAUUUUGAAAAUGUACGGUGGUACUACGCCACGUACCGCGAGUCCACAUCCGCAUCCCGCCGCCCCCACACCGCAGGAUCACAUGCUGCAGCAGAUGCUGUAUCAACAGCAGCAACAAAGAAUCCCAUCUCCUAUGAACAAUGCUUAUUGUCCACCUCCAAUAAUAUCACCAAAUUUGGCAGCUAGUCCUAGUACUUUAACAGUACAGCACCCAGUGAUACCGCAUAGAGUGCCGUCGCCACGGGAGAUCGUUAUGCACACUCAAUCUAUAAUACAAAAUGUUUUAAUCAAGAAAAAAUUGGAGGAGCAGCGCGAGAAUUAUCGCAAGCGGCAGGACCAGCAACAACAACAACAACAGCAGCAGCAGCAGCAGCAGCAAGUUCAGCAACGCUCAUCGAGUCCCAUUAACUCGCCAGCUAAGCAAACAAUGAGUCCGACCCCGCUUGCUUUUACUCCAACAUCCGUUUUACGUAAAAUGACUGCUGAUAAGGAACCUGACGGAAACAGCAAUGACCCAUCGAAAUUGUCCACGCAAACUCAGGCUUCUCAGAUGCAACAAAUGCAAUCUGCAGUUCAGCUACUUGCACAGGGAGUCCUCCCGAGACACACGACGAUGCGGCCACAAUCUGCUCAAUCGACAUGGUCGAAUCCAUCUCUUAAGCAACAUCCAGGACGACCUAUAGUAAAAGGUGGCAAGAGUAACAAUACGAACAGCACUCAGUUCCAGUACACGGGAAAUGCGGAAUUCCAACAACAGCAACAACAUAGGACAGCGUCGAAUGUGUACGGCAAUCCGGCACGAUCUAAGCACACGAUGGCCACUUCCUUGCCGCAUCACAACGUUUCGCAAUACAACGUACCACAGAGCUCAAUGAUGAAUCAGAGGUCAAAUUCUAUAAAUACCCAAAUGAAGACCCAACAGCAAGUCCCGUCGCAUCUCGCUAACAUGCAACAACAACCGCCUCAUGGAGCUGCCAGCAUGCAACAACAACCGCCUCAACGAACUGCUGUGAAUACGCAACUUGCAACAAAGAUGCAACUUGUCGUGAACCAAAACUAUAAUUCCAAUCGUACAGGUGCUUGUCGUCUUCCAAAUCAAAUUGCAUGCAACGAUGUUCAGAAAUCGGAAUAGUAGCAAGCCUCUAUUAUUAGCCCUCUCGUUUAACCCUGUCUUGACAUAAUUUACGUUUGGAUUAAACUAAAUGGACGUGCAAUGCGAUCGCAGCAAUUGAACCUUGCUGUCGGCCGUCAAUCCUCGCCGGGUCUUGGAUUCGUGGGCAGUAACGGCGGUGAUCUGUCGCCGACGUCGAAUCAACUCGCUCGAUGGUUCAGUCCAGAACUCCUCGCUAAAGCACGGGCCG